UAAAGUAAAACACAAGCUACAAAUUUUGUACUGUGCCUUAAUAUGAUUUUUUAAGGCCUCGUUGUUAUAUAAUUUUUUUUUUUUAUUGAAUACAUCAGCCCUUAUAUCUCUUAUAUGUAUUUUAAUAAGGGAAAAAUUUAUACAGAUCCUUGGCUCUAAACGGUCAAAUUAGAGCCUACCACAAAACUUUUACUAGAAGAGGUUGUUUUGAUGCCCAAAUAUCAUCAAAUUGAUCAUCUCGAUAUCUAGAUGUAUGGACAUAAGAAAAAAAUAGAUUUCAAGUUUUGAAAAUAGCGCAUGUUGUAAUGUAUUUUGGACCACCAAUUUUCAAGAUUUUAAAGUUUUCAUACACUACUUUUGAAGCUUUAAAUUUUAUAAUUAAAAAUAAAAUAAUAAUUUAAAGCUAUUAUAAAACUUUUCAAUAUUGAAACCAUAUUUCUCUCCACUAUUUGAAGGUAAAAUUGCACCUUUUUAAUAAACUUAUCUAAGUAUUAGUGGGUGUGGUUUCUAUAAGGUUGCAACCUUAAACAAUCCAAUUAAGGCACACCUCCAAAAUUUAUCAU
This 563-nucleotide long non-coding RNA is filed under the name Amborella trichopoda. RNAcentral describes it as "long non-coding RNA (ATRI_LNC003396)". Lineage: Eukaryota; Viridiplantae; Streptophyta; Magnoliopsida; Amborellales; Amborellaceae. The record is from RNAcentral.